RNAcentral lists this ribosomal RNA (453 nucleotides) under uncultured bacterium. Its description in RNAcentral is "bacterial SSU rRNA". It matches the Rfam family "Bacterial small subunit ribosomal RNA", at positions 29 to 524 of the family's 1533-position model. The record is from RNAcentral.
AGCGAACGCUGGCGGCAGGCUUAACACAUGCAAGUCGAACGGGCGUAGCAAUACGUCAGUGGCAGACGGGUGAGUAACGCGUGGGAACGUACCUUUUGGUUCGGAACAACCCAGGGAAACUUGGGCUAAUACCGGAUAAGCCCUUACGGGGAAAGAUUUAUCGCCGAAAGAUCGGCCCGCGUCUGAUUAGCUAGUUGGUGUGGUAACGGCGCACCAAGGCGACGAUCAGUAGCUGGUCUGAGAGGAUGAUCAGCCACAUUGGGACUGAGACACGGCCCAAACUCCUACGGGAGGCAGCAGUGGGGAAUAUUGGACAAUGGGCGCAAGCCUGAUCCAGCCAUGCCGCGUGAGUGAUGAAGGCCCUAGGGUUGUAAAGCUCUUUUGUGCGGGAAGAUAAUGACGGUACCGCAAGAAUAACGCCCCGGCUAACUUCGUGCCAGCCGCCGCAGUAAU